RNAcentral lists this unclassified non-coding RNA (253 nucleotides) under uncultured Pseudomonadaceae bacterium. RNAcentral describes it as "contains 16S-23S intergenic spacer region". It matches the Rfam family "Bacterial small subunit ribosomal RNA", at positions 524 to 776 of the family's 1533-position model. Lineage: Bacteria; Pseudomonadati; Pseudomonadota; Gammaproteobacteria; Pseudomonadales; Pseudomonadaceae. The record is from RNAcentral.
UACAGAGGGUGCAAGCGUUGAUCGGAAUUACUGGGCGUAAAGCGCGCGUAGGUGGUUUGUUGAGUCGGAUGUGAAAGCCCCGGGCUCAACCUGGGAACUGCAGCCAAAACUGGCAAGCUAGAGUACGGUAGAGGGUGGUGGAAUUUCCUGUGUAGCGGUGGAAUGCGUGGAUAUAGGGAGGAACACCAGUGGCGAAGGCGACCACCUGGACUGAUACUGACACUGAGGUGCGAAAGCAUGGGGAGCAAACAGG